Molecule: ribosomal RNA, 506 nt
Filed under: uncultured bacterium
Lineage: Bacteria
Description: partial 16S ribosomal RNA
Rfam family: Bacterial small subunit ribosomal RNA
Source: RNAcentral
AGUGAACGCUGGCGGUAGGCCUAACACAUGCAAGUCGAACGGCAGCACAGGAGAGCUUGCUCUCUGGGUGGCGAGUGGCGGACGGGUGAGGAAUACAUCGGAAUCUACUCUGUCGUGGGGGAUAACGUAGGGAAACUUACGCUAAUACCGCAUACGACCUACGGGUGAAAGCAGGGGACCUUCGGGCCUUGCGCGAUUGAAUGAGCCGAUGUCGGAUUAGCUAGUUGGCGGGGUAAAGGCCCACCAAGGCGACGAUCCGUAGCUGGUCUGAGAGGAUGAUCAGCCGCACGGGAACUGAGACACGGUCCAGACGCCUACGGGAGGCAGCAGUGGGGAAUAUUGGACAAUGGGCGCAAGCCUGAUCCAGCCAUACCGCGUGGGUGAAGAAGGCCUUCGGGUUGUAAAGCCCUUUUGUUGGGAAAGAAAUCCAGCUGGCUAAUACCCGGUUGGGAUGACGGUACCCAAAGAAUAAGCACCGGCUAACUUCGUGCCAGCAGCCGCCGUAA